This 273-nucleotide ribosomal RNA is filed under the name Triticum aestivum (bread wheat). RNAcentral describes it as "partial small subunit ribosomal RNA". The record is from RNAcentral. Lineage: Eukaryota; Viridiplantae; Streptophyta; Magnoliopsida; Poales; Poaceae.
AUGUAUGCUGGCUCAAACCCCACCUCGGAGAUUAGGAACUCUGACCUUCUCUCCAGCAUACCACCUGAACGUCUUCUUCAAGUGCUCCACUUUGGCGGCGAUUUUCUCCUUGCUGAGGCGCGCAACAGCCCGCAACGCGUGCCUGAACAUCCUACAGCCACGAGGCACACCAAUAUCUUCGGCAUGUGCCACCAUUUCCCGGACGCACUCUAUGUUGGAGGUGAGCAGCCAUGGAUGAGCGAUGCUAAGCUUGGCAAUGUAAGUGUCAUCUAG